AGUGAACGUUGGCGGCGUGGAUUAGGCAUGCAAGUCGUGCGGAAAGGCUCCUUCGGGAGUGCUCGAGCGGCGAAAGGGAGAGUAAUGCGUAGAUACCUACCCCCAGGACCGGGAUAGCCGCGGGAAACUGCGGGUAAUACCGGAUAAUGUCUCCGGACCAAAGGUGUGAUUCCGCCUGGAGACGGGUCUGCGUCCUAUUAGCUAGUUGGUGGGGUAACGGCCUACCAAGGCAAAGAUGGGUACGAGGCGUGAGAGCGUGUCCUCGCUCACUGGGACUGAGACACUGCCCAGACACCUACGGGUGGCUGCAGUCGAGAAUCUUCGGCAAUGGGCGCAAGCCUGACCGAGCGACGCCGCGUGCGGGAUGAAGGCCUUCGGGUUGUAAACCGCUGUCAGAGGGGAUGAAAUGCCGGGGGGUUCUCCCUCCGGUUUGACAGAUCCUCAGAGGAAGUACGGGCUAAGUUCGUGCCAGCCGCCGCCGUAA
Molecule: ribosomal RNA, 484 nt
Filed under: uncultured bacterium
Lineage: Bacteria
Description: partial 16S ribosomal RNA
Rfam family: Bacterial small subunit ribosomal RNA
Source: RNAcentral